UACGUAGGGUGCAAGCGUUGUCCGGAAUUAUUGGGCGUAAAGAGCUCGUAGGCGGUCUGUCGCGUCGGCUGUGAAAACCUGGGGCUUAACUCCGGGCCUGCAGCCGAUACGGGCAGACUAGAGUUCGGCAGGGGAGACUGGAAUUCCUGGUGUAGCGGUGAAAUGCGCAGAUAUCAGGAGGAACACCGGUGGUGUAGACGGCUUUCUGGACCGUAACUGACGCUGAGGAGCGAAAGCGUGGGGAGCGAACAGG
This 253-nucleotide ribosomal RNA is filed under the name uncultured bacterium. Its description in RNAcentral is "partial 16S ribosomal RNA". It matches the Rfam family "Bacterial small subunit ribosomal RNA", at positions 524 to 776 of the family's 1533-position model. The record is from RNAcentral.